Oryza sativa Japonica Group (Japanese rice) is the source of this 2416-nucleotide non-coding RNA. NCBI's taxonomy places the organism in Eukaryota, Viridiplantae, Streptophyta, Magnoliopsida, Poales, Poaceae. The record is from RefSeq and is a predicted model, not a curated record.
CUUCUCCCUCUUGUCUCUCUCUCACCCUCUCCCUCCGCUCUCUCGCCGCCGUCGCCGCCACGCGCUGCCACCUCCGUCUCCCCCUCGCGCCACCGCGUCUACUGCCGCCGCCGCCGCCGCGUCCACCGCAGCCGCCUCGGGCGGGUCCACCUCUCCUCCACCGCCGCGUCCACUUCCGCCGCCGUCGCCGCGUCCACCGCAGCCGCCUUCGCCGCGUCCACCUCCGCCGCCGCCGCGUCCACCGCAGCCGCCUCGGUCGCGUCCACCUCUGCUGCCGCCGCAUCCAUUUCCGCCGCCGCUGCCGCGACGCUGUCUCCGAGCGCCGUCGCCAUCAUCGAGGCGAGCAGCCAUCUCGAGCGCCGCCGCUGCCAAGUGCCUCCUCCGGCCGCCGGCGUCCGGAUCCGGACUCCAUGUGGUCGGGAGACGUCGAUCUGACCGGCGGAUGUGACGAGGAGCUCGGCCGCGCCACACGGAGCUCAACCUCGGCGGAUUGGGCGACGGCGUCGGCCUCGGCGGUGAAAAGUCUCUGUUGCUGCUGCCGCCGUCGGGCAGUCAAGGUUUUUCCUGCCGGUAGAGUAUGGAAAAAGAAUCUUCCAUGUGCUAGGGCAAGGAAGCCUUUUGUAGUCAGCUCUCUAGACUUGCUUAUGCUUCUGCAGUGAGCACCCAGCAAUAGGUAAAUCUGCUCUCUUGGUUCUCUGAAUUAAAAGGACAUACAACUAUAGCAUGAUGAUCUUGCAGGAAAUUAUCAUGUCUUUUCAGCAAGAUUGCUCUAUAUGAAUCGAGUUGUCGAAAAAGGUGCCAUUUAGUCCACGGGCUUCACGAAAAUCAGUGUUUCAAAGAAACAAACCUUGAAACAUUCCAUGGGGUUCUCAGAUCGCGGAUGGCGGCGGCCACCAGGCGGAUGUGGUCAAGGGAGGACUGGCAGCGCUGAGCAACGACGUCUAGGAAUAGCAUCUCAGGUCAGUCCUCUUGCUCCCUCAUCUCGCUCCUUACAUAUUUCUGGAUUAUUCAGUUGAGGAGAAGGAAUUCACAAAGGAACUGCUCCUGCACCCACUCCCCAAUCGCAACGCGCUGGCCCACUUCCACUCCUCUGCGCAUCCCUCUGCUGCCAACGGACGCUAGCAACAUGUCAAACCCCAAGGCCAUCCCCCAGCUGUGCAAGUCACUGACUUUACGGUAUUGGAGUUCGAGUAGAAGAUCAGCUGCUCCGUCAUCGACGAUGGCCUGAUCCACAGAUGAAUUUUGGUGCUGAUACUUCCAGGGAGUUGGGUGCUCGAAGUUCAGAAAAAGCUGCUAGGUGGAUCAGGACAAUGGAAUCUGCCUUAAAGCCCCCAAGAAAGGAUGAACUUGUUAGCUGUUCACAUACAAGAUGGCAAGCUUUUAGGCUAAGCCGCUGCAGUAACCGCAUGCACUCAAUAGGUUGGACUGUAUUUUCUUCUGUCCAUAACGAUCCUAUGGCAUCUGAUGUUAUUGCACCUUCUCCAUGGACAAUAUUUGACUGUAAAAAUGGAUUCCGUUUGUUUACUGAGGCAAAAGAUGGUGGUUCAGAGGGGAAGGUAAUUCUUGUAUGAAACAAAGGUUGCAUAUCCUUCUUAUGACGAUUCUAGCAAGGUCGGUAUUGCCAUGGGUGCCUUGGAGCUUAAUCAUUUGCCUGAUUCUCAGCAUGCUUGUCUGAAAAGCAGAUUGACCUGAGUUUGUGUGCUAUAGCUGAUGAUGGAAUUUUUUUUAAAAGUAAUAUGAUUUUAAUGGAAAAUCGCAAAACUAUAGGUCAGUUAGGCGAAAUCGCAAGUUUAGCACCCUAUCGAACAACCGUGGUUCGACAAGGUACCUAUCGAACAACCACAGUUCGAUAGGGUACCUGUCGAACUGCGGUAGUUCGACAGGUGAUUAAAAAAAUCAAAAAAAGAGAAAAAUCACUGUUGCACACUGUUCACAAUACCCUAUCGAACUAAGGCAGUUCGAUAUGUGUCUGCGAGCACUGUAGCAUCACUGUUCACGCAACCCUAUCGAACUUUGGCUGUUCGAUAUGUCCCUGCCUAGCAUUGUAGUGAUACUGUUCAUGUAAUUUUUUAUUUGUUUUUGGACCACCUACCCUGUCGAACUGACGCAGUUCGACAUGUACCUGUCGAACUGUGGUUGUUCGAUAGGUAUCCCUGUCGAACCGCGGUUGUUCGACAGGGUGCUAAACUUGCGAUUUCGCCUAACUGAUCUAUAGUUUUGCGAUUUUCCAUUAAAAUCAUAUUGUUUUUAAAAAAAAUUCCUGAUGAACUUCCUGACCCCACUCUCCGUGGACGACCACCGUGCCUCCUUGCGGUCUUCUCAUCGCUCUCUGGUGGAGGUGAUCCAGCACGCUUGAACGGCAGUGAUGUCAACAAUGACCGUGUGUGGACAUCUGAUCCCCCUCCCUAUACACAGG